UACGUAGGGGGCAAGCGUUGUCCGGAUUUAUUGGGCGUAAAGAGCGCGUAGGCGGCCAAGCAGGUCUGCUGUGAAAACUCGAGGCUCAACCUCGAGAGGUCGGUGGAAACCGUUUGGCUAGAGUCCGGAAGAGGAGAGUGGAAUUCCCGGUGUAGCGGUGAAAUGCGCAGAUAUCAGGAGGAACACCAAUGGCGAAGGCAGCUCGCUGGGACGGUACUGACGCUGAGGCGCGAAAGCGUGGGGAGCAAACAGG
Molecule: ribosomal RNA, 253 nt
Filed under: uncultured bacterium
Lineage: Bacteria
Description: partial 16S ribosomal RNA
Rfam family: Bacterial small subunit ribosomal RNA
Source: RNAcentral